CCUACGGGUGACAGCAGUGAGGAAUAUUGGUCAAUGGGCGAGAGCCUGAACCAGCCAAGUCGCGUGAGGGAGUACUGCCCUAUGGGUUGUAAACCUCUUUUGUCGGGGAGCAAAAGCCGGACGUGUCCGGCUGUGAGCGUACCCUAAGAAAAAGCAUCGGUUAACUCCGUGCCAGCAGCCGCGGUAAUACGUAGGAUGCGAGCGUUAUCCGGAUUUCUUGGGUUUAAAGGGUGCGCAGGCGGAGUUUUAAUGCAGCGGUCAAAUCGUGGGGCUCAACCCCAUCCAGCCGUGUAAACUGGGGAUCUAGAGUGUGCGAGAGGUAUGCGGAAUGCGUGGUGUAGCGGUGAAAUGCAUAGAUAUCACGCAGAACCCGGAUUGCGAAGGCAGCAGACCGGUGCACAACUGACGCUCAGGCACGAAAGCGUGGGUAUCGAACAGGAUUAGAUACCCGAGUAGUC
This 458-nucleotide ribosomal RNA is filed under the name uncultured bacterium. Its description in RNAcentral is "partial 16S ribosomal RNA". It matches the Rfam family "Bacterial small subunit ribosomal RNA", at positions 338 to 795 of the family's 1533-position model. The record is from RNAcentral.